Molecule: long non-coding RNA, 378 nt
Filed under: Pan troglodytes (chimpanzee)
Lineage: Eukaryota; Metazoa; Chordata; Mammalia; Primates; Hominidae
Description: long non-coding RNA NONPTRT001332
Source: RNAcentral
GCGAGGGAGAGAAAUGGUCGAGUACAGAAGCCUGCGUGUGGGUAAGAAAAUACCCUAACCACUCGCCCACCGGACGCAGGGCGGCUGGGACUGCGAAUCCAGCAGCAGCCACAGCGUAGCAGCGGGCGGCAGCCGCCGAGGCAGCAAUGUCAGGAGGGCACAGCUGGAGGAGGCGGCCGCCAAAGCCACUACCCCACCCCCAGGAAGAUUUGGAAAAGAGGCACUGGCUACUGGAGGAAGGGAGAAAUCACCGAGAGAGCGAAAGAUGUAACAGAAACAGGCUCUUGUUCUGUCACCCAUACUUGGAGUGCAGUGGUACAAUGAUAGCUCACUGCAGCCUCAAACUCCUGGUCUCAAGCAAUCCUCUCACCUCAGCCU